GCCGCCAUGGCGGAACUGGUAGACGCAGGGGACUUAAAAUCCCCCGGAGCGUAUCCGUGCCGGUUCGAUUCCGGCUGGCGGCACCA
This 86-nucleotide transfer RNA is filed under the name Candidatus Agathobaculum intestinipullorum. Its description in RNAcentral is "tRNA-Leu". It matches the Rfam family "tRNA". Rfam says of the family: Transfer RNA (tRNA) molecules are approximately 80 nucleotides in length. Lineage: Bacteria; Bacillati; Bacillota; Clostridia; Eubacteriales; Butyricicoccaceae. The record is from RNAcentral.